UACGAAGGGGGCUAGCGUUGUUCGGAAUUACUGGGCGUAGAGCGCGUGUAGGCGGGUCUUUUAAGUCAGGGGUGAAAUGCCAAGGCUCAACCUUGGAACUGCCUUUGAUACUGGAGACCUUGAGUCCGGGAGAGGUGAGUGGAAUUGCGAGUGUAGAGGUGAAAUUCGUAGAUAUUCGCAAGAACACCAGUGGCGAAGGCGGCUCACUGGCCCGGAACUGACGCUGAGAGUGCGAAAACGUGGGGAGCAAACAGG
This 255-nucleotide ribosomal RNA is filed under the name uncultured bacterium. RNAcentral describes it as "partial 16S ribosomal RNA". It matches the Rfam family "Bacterial small subunit ribosomal RNA", at positions 524 to 776 of the family's 1533-position model. The record is from RNAcentral.